CACUGGAUGGCUGGUGCCUAGACUGGCUGGUUAAAGCUUUGACCUUGACUAAAACAAACUAACAAAAAUGAAGACUUUUUUCCUGUUAUUCAGAGAACACAAAAGAUGGGCCCCUUGGGAGGAGCCCCCUGUAGGCAAAGGUCAUCUGCUUCCUUUGAUUGUUCGAGGCUACCUGGUAAGACCUAAAAAGUGAUCUGUGAAUGGUUGCUGCCUAUGCUGGAUCUGGAGGCAUGUGGGAGAGACCACACUGCAAACUGAGGAAUGGAGUUGGAAGAAAGAUAACCUUACUUUGUUCUUCAGAAGAGGACAUGAUUGAUCUAAGG
Long non-coding RNA from Pteropus alecto (black flying fox), 323 nucleotides. RefSeq lists it as uncharacterized. The transcript is spliced from 3 exons. NCBI's taxonomy places the organism in Eukaryota, Metazoa, Chordata, Mammalia, Chiroptera, Pteropodidae. The record is from RefSeq and is a predicted model, not a curated record.